UUUGUUGCUAAAAAGUUUAGAGAUCUUUGGCCAAGUCUAUCACUUCAACUUUUGCUGACUCAUGAUGUGUUUCUUAAUCAAGUUGUUUGAUUAGUAUGGAAUACAAAGCUAGCUUACAAUCCAAUUUUGCUGUAUUCUAUAUGAUGAGAAGUGAUAAGAGUUUGUCUACAGGAGGGAUGACUACCUUUUCUUUCGAAACCUUUUAGUUGCUUGGUUGAUUUCGAAACCUUUUAGUUGCUUGGUUGACCAACUUGGAAAUCUGUUAAAGGUUGUUGAUUUCAAGUCUUAUUGAGCACAUGGUUAGCUAGUUUUAAAUUGUUUUAUUUUAACUUGUGUCUAUAUGGUUUGGCUUUGUUGGCCUGGUUUAUGCAAGUUCUUGAUUUCCUUCUUCUAUUUGCAGCUGUUAUGCUUUUUUAGUAACUGAAAAAAGUGGUAGGUAUGAUGAUAGGGGGUUGGUUGUGAUUUUUCUCCAUGGAAUUUCUUCUUUUUACUGUAGGAUGAGCAAAGUGAGACCGUACUCAUUUUGAUGUCUGUACUCAUUGCGUUGUAUUUGUGAAUGAUUAUGUUUUGGGAAAUGUCAUAUUCAUUCUUUCGUCUGCUUCCUUCCCUGAUUCUCUGGCCUUCAUUGAUCUUGCUACACGGAUGGGGCGAUAUGAGAAGCUGAAUGUAUGACUUAUGCUUAAAAAGAAAUUGAAACCUAAAUAAUUAAAUGAUAAUUAGCUUUUUUCCUUCUCAAUCACUAUAUAUUACAAAAAUAUUUUUUUUAAUGUUUCCACCUGGUGUUCUUUACCCGUUUUGGGACCCGACUAACCCGGAUUCGUGGCGGGAAGUCCCACUUUGGGAGGUAAAGUGUUCCCUACCAAAGGAAACUCCGUACUUAGGGCUCGAGCAUGAGAUCUCAUGGCUAAGGAUAGGAAAGUAUUUACCUCAUGGCUAAGGAUAGGAAAGUAUUUACCUCAUGGCUAAGGAUAGGGAAAUAUUUACCCCCCCUCCACACUUUUGGUGUUAAUCUUCUAUAAAAAUGAUCUUUUCUUCAUAUUCUAGCAGUACGACAAUUCUUUGUGUUUCU
RNAcentral lists this long non-coding RNA (1069 nucleotides) under Nicotiana tabacum (common tobacco). Its description in RNAcentral is "long non-coding RNA (NTAB_LNC012303)". The record is from RNAcentral. Lineage: Eukaryota; Viridiplantae; Streptophyta; Magnoliopsida; Solanales; Solanaceae.